AGUGAACGCUGGCGGUAGGCCUAACACAUGCAAGUCGAACGGCAGCACAGUAAGAGCUUGCUCUUACGGGUGGCGAGUGGCGGACGGGUGAGGAAUACAUCGGAAUCUACUUUUUCGUGGGGGAUAACGUAGGGAACCUUACGCUAAUACCGCAUACGACCUACGGGUGAAAGCAGGGGAUCUUCGGACCUUGCGCGAUUGAAUGAGCCGAUGUCGGAUUAGCUAGUUGGCGGGGUAAAGGCCCACCAAGGCGACGAUCCGUAGCUGGUCUGAGAGGAUGAACAGCCACACUGGGACUGAGACACGGUCCAGACUCCUACGGGAGGCAGCAGUGGGGAAUAUUGGACAAUGGGCGCAAGCCUGAUCCAGCCAUACCGCGUGGGUGAAGAAGGCCUUCGGGUUGUAAAGCCCUUUUGUUGGGAAAGAAAAGCAGCAGGUUAAUACCCCGCUGUUCUGACGGUACCCAAAGAAUAAGCACCGGCUAACUUCGUG
RNAcentral lists this ribosomal RNA (492 nucleotides) under uncultured bacterium. RNAcentral's name for it is "partial 16S ribosomal RNA". It matches the Rfam family "Bacterial small subunit ribosomal RNA", at positions 29 to 507 of the family's 1533-position model. The record is from RNAcentral.